GAAAUGCGAUAAGUAAUGUGAAUUGCAGAAUUCAGUGAAUCAUCGAAUCUUUGAACGCACAUUGCGCCCCUUGGUAUUCCGAGGGGCAUGCCUGUUCGAGCGUCAUUACAACCCUCAAGCUCUGCUUGGUAUUGGGCUCCGUCCUCACUGCGGACGCGCCUCGAAGACCUCGGCGGUGGCUGUUCGGCCCUCAAGCGUAGUAGAAUACACCUCGCUUUGGAGCGGUCGGCGUCGCCUGCCGGAUGAACCUUCUGAACUUUUCUCAAGGUUGACCUCGGAUCAGGUAGGGAUACCCGCUGAACUUAAGC
This 308-nucleotide unclassified non-coding RNA is filed under the name plant metagenome. Its description in RNAcentral is "partial contains 5.8S ribosomal RNA, internal transcribed spacer 2, and large subunit ribosomal RNA". The stretch from base 1 to 105 matches the Rfam family "5.8S ribosomal RNA", at positions 50 to 154 of the family's 154-position model. The record is from RNAcentral.